This 433-nucleotide ribosomal RNA is filed under the name uncultured bacterium. RNAcentral describes it as "partial 16S ribosomal RNA". It matches the Rfam family "Bacterial small subunit ribosomal RNA", at positions 29 to 507 of the family's 1533-position model. The record is from RNAcentral.
AACGAACGCUGGCGGCAGGCUUAACACAUGCAAGUCGAGCGCAUCCUUCGGGGUGAGCGGCAGACGGGUGAGUAACGCGUGGGAAUCUACCUUUUGCUACGGAAUAGCUCCGGGAAACUGGAAUUAAUACCGUAUGUGCCCUUAGGGGGAAAGAUUUAUCGGCAAGAGAUGAGCCCGCGUUGGAUUAGCUAGUUGGUGGGGUAAAGGCCUACCAAGGCGACGAUCCAUAGCUGGUCUGAGAGGAUGAUCAGCCACAUUGGGACUGAGACACGGCCCAAACUCCUACGGGAGGCAGCAGUGGGGAAUAUUGGAAAAUGGGCGCAAGCCUGAUCCAGCCAUGCCGCGUGAGUGAUGAAGGCCUUAGGGUUGUAAAGCUCUUUCACCGGAGAAGAUAAUGACGGUAUCCGGAGAAGAAGCCCCGGCUAACUUCGUG